This is a long non-coding RNA of Cygnus olor (mute swan), 296 nucleotides long. RefSeq lists it as uncharacterized. The transcript has 3 exons. The record is from RefSeq and is a predicted model, not a curated record. Lineage: Eukaryota; Metazoa; Chordata; Aves; Anseriformes; Anatidae.
GAAAGACUGUAACAAACAUCACAGAAAGGCAGAAGUACCCCUCUUCUUCAGAAUCCAAUGAAACCUCCCACCCUUUAACAGUGGGAAGUGAUGCCUCAUGGGGAAGAAUUGCCCUGAAAUGCUUUGGAGCAGCAAUGGGGUAUGAACAUCCAGCUGACCCAGCUCUACUUCCAUCAGAGCAGUUUGGACUGAAGAAGAGCUCCUGCUGGGACAUUUUAAGAAUAAAAGCAAUUAACACAAAUAACAGUUGAUUAUUUACAUUCUCAAGACUUGAUCUCUCUCUUAUUAAAAACAAC